RNAcentral lists this ribosomal RNA (460 nucleotides) under uncultured bacterium. RNAcentral describes it as "partial 16S ribosomal RNA". It matches the Rfam family "Bacterial small subunit ribosomal RNA", at positions 338 to 795 of the family's 1533-position model. The record is from RNAcentral.
CCUACGGGGGGCAGCAGGGAGGAAUAUUGGUCAAUGGGCGCGAGACUGAACCAGCCAAGUAGCGUGAAGGAUGACGGCCCUACGGGUUGUAAACUUCUUUUAUAAAGGAAUAAAGUGAGGCACGUGUGCCUUUUUGUAUGUACCUUAUGAAUAAGGAUCGGCUAACUCCGUGCCAGCAGCCGCGGUAAUACGGAGGUUCCGAGCGUUAUCCGGAUUUAUUGGGUUUAAAGGGAGCGUAGAUGGGUUGUUAAGUCAGUGGUGAAAGUUUGCGGCUCAACCGUAAAAUUGCAGUUGAUACUGGCAGCCUGGAGUGCAGUUGAGGUAGGCGGAAUUCGUGGUGUAGCGGUGAAAUGCUUAGAUAUCACGAAGAACUCCGAUUGCGAAGGCAGCAUACUAAACUGCAACUGACGUUGAUGCUCGAAAGUGUGGGUAUCAAACAGGAUUAGAUACCCGUGUAGUC